RNAcentral lists this ribosomal RNA (776 nucleotides) under uncultured Neocallimastigales. RNAcentral's name for it is "partial large subunit ribosomal RNA". It matches the Rfam family "Eukaryotic large subunit ribosomal RNA", at positions 23 to 621 of the family's 3401-position model. Lineage: Eukaryota; Fungi; Neocallimastigomycota; Neocallimastigomycetes; Neocallimastigales. The record is from RNAcentral.
AGAGAUGUGUGAUGACGCAUAUCAAUAAGCGGAGGAAAAGAAACUAACAAGGAUUCCCUUAGUAACGGCGAGUGAAGCGGGAAGAGCUCAUAUUUGAAAUCUUCAAGGUUCUACCUUGACGAAUUGUAGUUUAUAGAAGUGUUUUCUGUUAGUGGAGUGGCAAAAGUUCUUUGGAAUAGGACAUCAUAGAGGGUGAGAAUCCCGUAUUUGACCAUUAUUUUCAGCUGUGUGAUACACUUUCAAAGAGUCGGAUUGUUUGGGAAUGCAGUCCAAAAUGGGUGGUAAAUUUCAUCUAAAGCUAAAUAUUGGCGAGAGACCGAUAGCGAACAAGUACCGUGAGGGAAAGAUGAAAAGAACUUUGAAAAGAGAGUUAAACAGUACGUGAAAUUGUCAAAAGGGAAGCGUUUGACACCAGUGUUGUUUUUCCGAAAAUCAAUUACGAAUGUUUUGUUUUUGAGGAGUUAUGACUUCAUCGGCUUGCUCCUUUCUUUAUGAAACUUUCUUAAUGCACUUUUCGGUUAACAAGUCAACAUCAAUUUCUUUUGUUGUAAAAGGGUAUGAGGAAGGUGGCUUUCUUUUCGGAGAAAGUGUUUAUAGCCUUGUGCCUCUGCAAUCGGAGAGAUUGAGGUCUGCAGCGUAGAUCCUUCGGGGUUAGAUACAGUUUGUGCUAAGUUAUAGCCUUUCAUAGACAACUUGUUGACUAUGUUUAGUCUUGUAGCUUACUCGCUAGAUGCUAUUUUACCUACGCUUAGGAUGUUGAACUCUAUCACACACAG